GGGUUGUGAGGUUAAGCGACUAAGCGUACACGGUGGAUGCCCUGGCAGUCAGAGGCGAUGAAGGACGUGCUAAUCUGCGAUAAGCGUCGGUAAGGUGAUAUGAACCGUUAUAACCGGCGAUUUCCGAAUGGGGAAACCCAGUGUGUUUCGACACACUAUCAUUAACUGAAUCCAUAGGUUAAUGAGGCGAACCGGGGGAACUGAAACAUCUAAGUACCCCGAGGAAAAGAAAUCAACCGAGAUUCCCCCAGUAGCGGCGAGCGAACGGGGAGCAGCCCAGAGCCUGAAUCAGUGUGUGUGUUAGUGGAAGCGUCUGGAAAGGCGCGCGAUACAGGGUGACAGCCCCGUACACAAAAAUGCACAUGCUGUGAGCUCGAUGAGUAGGGCGGGACACGUGGUAUCCUGUCUGAAUAUGGGGGGACCAUCCUCCAAGGCUAAAUACUCCUGACUGACCGAUAGUGAACCAGUACCGUGAGGGAAAGGCGAAAAGAACCCCGGCGAGGGGAGUGAAAAAGAACCUGAAACCGUGUACGUACAAGCAGUGGGAGCACGCUUAGGCGUGUGACUGCGUACCUUUUGUAUAAUGGGUCAGCGACUUAUAUUCUGUAGCAAGGUUAACCGAAUAGGGGAGCCGAAGGGAAACCGAGUCUUAACUGGGCGUUAAGUUGCAGGGUAUAGACCCGAAACCCGGUGAUCUAGCCAUGGGCAGGUUGAAGGUUGGGUAACACUAACUGGAGGACCGAACCGACUAAUGUUGAAAAAUUAGCGGAUGACUUGUGGCUGGGGGUGAAAGGCCAAUCAAACCGGGAGAUAGCUGGUUCUCCCCGAAAGCUAUUUAGGUAGCGCCUCGUGAAUUCAUCUCCGGGGGUAGAGCACUGUUUCGGCAAGGGGGUCAUCCCGACUUACCAACCCGAUGC
This 917-nucleotide ribosomal RNA is filed under the name Escherichia coli. Its description in RNAcentral is "partial 23S ribosomal RNA". It matches the Rfam family "Bacterial large subunit ribosomal RNA", at positions 1 to 950 of the family's 2925-position model. Lineage: Bacteria; Pseudomonadati; Pseudomonadota; Gammaproteobacteria; Enterobacterales; Enterobacteriaceae. The record is from RNAcentral.